Molecule: long non-coding RNA, 2553 nt
Organism: Salmo salar (Atlantic salmon)
Lineage: Eukaryota; Metazoa; Chordata; Actinopteri; Salmoniformes; Salmonidae
Source: RefSeq, a predicted model, not a curated record
AACAUAACAUAUCAUACUAAUUUGAGCAUCCCAGAUUUACAUUUAGUGUGUUACAUCUAGUCUAUGAGACCGGGCUGGAUUUGAGGGAGGGCAGGCAGAAGACAGGUUAACUUUCUGAUUUGAGGGAGGGCAGACAGAAGACAGGUUAACUUUCUGAUUUGAGGGAGGGGAGGCAGGAGACAGGUUAACUUCCUGAUUUGAGGGAGGGCAGGCAGGAGACAGGUUAAAUUCCUGAUUUGAGGUAGGGCAGGCGAGUGAAAGGUUAACUUCCUGAUUUGAGGGAUGACAGGCGGGUUGCAGUUUAACUUCCUGAUUUGAGGAGGGCAGGCAGGAGGCAGGAGAGGAGACGUGUACCAGCUAGUCUUCAGAGCCGCGGUGGGUCUGAUGCUAAAUAAAGAGACAUUCCCUGCAAACUGCUUAUGAUUCCAGAAUAAUUGAUUAUCCAAUAAGAAAUGAGCAGCAGCACUGGGGCCCGUGUUGCAGUGAUGUCACUGAUGCAGAUUGAAUACCCACAAUGCUGUUUACCAUGCUGACCUGACUGGGGGUAGAAAAGAUCAACUAGAUGGGAAAAGAUGUGGUUAGAUACCACUGGACUGUAGCCUCACAGGCCACCACAACAACAGAACCCUCUUCCUAAGGGUACAGGAGGUGUUAACAUACACCUUGGAGGUGGUCCUCCAAACUCCUCCAUCUAACAUCUGUCCCUGAUUGGCACCAUAUCCUAGUUUAGAAACCUCAAGAAAUAGAAGAAGAAGAAGUAGAAGAAGAAGUAGAAUGGCAGUAAAAUGAGGUAGAUAUCAAAAACAUUUAGCAGAGGCUCCUUCUCUCUUGCAUUCUGAUCAACGUCUGGAAGCUCUAAUUUAUUAAAUGUAAUUCUGCCCUCCACUGCUACUAAAAAGGUGCACACACACUCAGGAACACACUCACACAUCUCCUGCUCUAACAGUCACUCACGCAUCUCCUGCUCUAACAGUCACUCACACAUCUCCUGCUCUAACAGUCACUCACAUCUCCUGCUCUAACAGUAACACAAAUCUCCUGCUCUAACAGUCACACACAUCUCCUGCUCUAACAGUCACUCACAUCUCCUGCUCUAACAGUAACACAGAUAUCCUGCUCUAACAAUCACGCACAUCUCCUGCUCUAACAGUCACUCACAUCUCCUGCUCUAACAGUCACUCACAUCUCCUGCUCUAACAGUCACUCACAUCUCCUACUCUAACAAUCACUCACAUCUCCUGCUCUAACAAUCACUCACAUAUCUGCUCUUGCAGUCACUCACAUCUCCUACUCUAACAAUCACUCACAUCUCCUGCUAUAACAAUCACUCACAUAUCCUGCUCUUGCAGUCACUCACAUCUCCUGCUCUAACAAUCACUCACAUCUCCUGCUCUAACAGUCACCCACAUCUCCUGCUCUAGCAGUCACCCACAUCUCCUGCUCUAGCAGUCACUCACAUCUCCUGCUCUAGCAGUCACUCACAUCUCCUGCUCUAGCAGUCACUCACAUCUCCUGCUCUAGCAGUCACUCACAUCUCCUGCUCUAGCAGUCACUCAUAUCUCCUGCUCUAACAGUCCCACACAUCUCCUGCUCUAGCAGUCACUCACAUCUCCUGCUCUAGCAGUCACUCACAUAUCCUGCUCCAGCAGUCACUCAAAUCUCCUGGUCUAGCAGUCACUCACAUCUCCUGCUCUAACAGUCCCACACAUCUCCUGCUCUAACAAUCACUCACAUCUGGUGGUCUAGCAGUCCCACACAUCUGGUGGUCUAGCAGUCACAAACAUCUGGUGGUCUAGCAGUCCCACACAUCUGGUGGUCUAGCAGUCCCACACAUCUGGUGGUCUAGCAGUCACACACAUCUGGUGGUCUAGCAGUCCCACACAUCUGGUGGUCUAGCAGUCACACACAUCUGGUGGUCUAGCAGUCCCACACAUCUGGUGGUCUAGCAGUCCCACACAUCUAGUGGUCUAGCAGUCCCACACAUCUGGUGGUCUAGCAGUCACACACAUCUGGUGGUCUAGCAGUCCCACACAUCUGGUGGUCUAGCAGUCACACACAUCUGGUGGUCUAGCAGUCACACACAUCUGGUGGUCUAGCAGUCCCACACAUCUGGUGGUCUAGCAGUCCCACACAUCUGGUGGUCUAGCAGUCACACACAUCUGGUGGUCUAGCAGUCCCACACAUCUGGUGGUCUAGCAGUCACAAACAUCUGGUGGUCUAGCAGUCUUGCCAUGGAGGAAAAUAGAGUGUACUUUUCAGUGCUACUAAAUGAGAAGAUUUGAACGAGUUAAACCCAAAAUAACUGUCAUUUACUGAGUUUGUAUCAUUGUUAUUGUUUGUAUAUCCUAUUAGAAACACAUUAUAACAUGUUAAACUGCAAUAUAAAGACUAGAAAAAUGUGUUUACUGUACAUCCAUGGUAUGUUUUGAAAAUAUAAUUGUAUAUUACAGCACUUAAGUGGGGUUUAUACAUAAAUCAGCUAAAAUGUGUAAAUUUUGUCUCCUUUACAUUUAUCUAAAAAUGCAAAAUAAAUGCAUCUUAGUUUAAAUCUUA